GCGCCCUUAGCUCAGUUGGUAGAGCAGACGGCUCUUAACCGUCGUGUCACUGGUUCGAGUCCAGUAGGGCGUAC
This 74-nucleotide transfer RNA is filed under the name Streptomyces phage Kela. RNAcentral's name for it is "tRNA-Lys". It matches the Rfam family "tRNA". Rfam says of the family: Transfer RNA (tRNA) molecules are approximately 80 nucleotides in length. Their secondary structure includes four short double-helical elements and three loops (D, anti-codon, and T loops). The record is from RNAcentral. Lineage: Duplodnaviria; Heunggongvirae; Uroviricota; Caudoviricetes.